This 1031-nucleotide ribosomal RNA is filed under the name uncultured archaeon. Its description in RNAcentral is "bacterial SSU rRNA". It matches the Rfam family "Archaeal small subunit ribosomal RNA", at positions 322 to 1354 of the family's 1478-position model. The record is from RNAcentral.
CCUACGGGGCGCAGCAGGCGCGAAACCUCCGCAAUGCGGGCAACCGCGACGGGGGGACCCCCAGUGCCGUGGCAUCGCCACGGCUUUUCCGGAGUGUAAAAAGCUCCGGGAAUAAGGGCUGGGCAAGGCCGGUGGCAGCCGCCGCGGUAAUACCGGCGGCCCGAGUGGUGGCCGCUAUUAUUGGGCCUAAAGCGUCCGUAGCCGGGCCUGUAAGUCCCUGGCGAAAUCCCACGGCUCAACCGUGGGGCUUGCUGGGGAUACUGCAGGCCUUGGGACCGGGAGAGGCGGGGGGUACCCCUGGGGUAGGGGUGAAAUCCUAUAAUCCCAGGGGGACCGCCAGUGGCGAAGGCGCCCCGCUGGAACGGGUCCGACGGUGAGGGACGAAGGCCAGGGGAGCGAACCGGAUUAGAUACCCGGGUAGUCCUGGCUGUAAAGGAUGCGGGCUAGGUGUCGGGCGAGCUUCGAGCUCGCCCGGUGCCGAAGGGAAGCUGUUAAGCCCGCCGCCUGGGGAGUACGGCCGCAAGGCUGAAACUUAAAGGAAUUGGCGGGGGAGCACUACAAGGGGUGGAGCGUGCGGUUUAAUUGGAUUCAACGCCGGGAACCUCACCGGGGGCGACGGCAGGAUGAAGGCCAGGCUGAAGGUCUUGCCGGACACGCCGAGAGGAGGUGCAUGGCCGCCGUCAGCUCGUACCGUGAGGCGUCCACUUAAGUGUGGUAACGAGCGAGACCCGCGCCCCCAGUUGCCAGUCCUCCCCGUUGGGGAGGAGGCACUCUGGGGGGACCGCCGGCGAUAAGCCGGAGGAAGGAGCGGGCGACGGUAGGUCAGUAUGCCCCGAAACCCCCGGGCUACACGCGCGCUACAAUGGGCGGGACAAUGGGAUCCGACCCCGAAAGGGGAAGGGAAUCCCCUAAACCCGCCCCCAGUUCGGAUCGCGGGCUGCAACUCGCUCGCGUGAAGCUGGAAUCCCUAGUACCCGCGUGUCAUCAUCGCGCGGCGAAUACGUCCCUGCUCCUUGCACACACCGCCCGUC